This 30-nucleotide non-coding RNA is filed under the name Mus musculus (house mouse). The record is from RNAcentral. Lineage: Eukaryota; Metazoa; Chordata; Mammalia; Rodentia; Muridae.
UACCUUUGAAGACAGUAAACAUCAAAGUUG